ACUAACAUGUUAAGUUUCUCUUUCCUCAGAUGAACCUCUAUAGCUACUGAACUCCAGUAAACCAACAACCUAUCCGCUGGACUGCAUGCCGUUGAAGAUGUCCAUCGAAAAUAGCUCCAUAAUAUUGGGCCAUGUGUCAAAUCAUAGGACUCUGGAAUCAACUCUGGCUUCAAACUCUGCACAGAAAUCAUUGUCUCAACACAGUGAGUGGGGGUUUGUCUUCUUCCUGGGAGGACAUUCAAAUCAAAUAUGCAGGAACCGUCUCAUGAGGAAUGAGGUUUGAGUUGGAUGUUUUCCUUGCCCCAGAAUUGUGGUUUCUUAUUCCAGUCCUUGGGGUACACAACACACUGCACACAUUAAUGUGUUCCAUAUA
Electrophorus electricus (electric eel) is the source of this 373-nucleotide long non-coding RNA. RefSeq lists it as uncharacterized. The record is from RefSeq and is a predicted model, not a curated record. NCBI's taxonomy places the organism in Eukaryota, Metazoa, Chordata, Actinopteri, Gymnotiformes, Gymnotidae.